UACCCACUGCACCUCCCUCAGAGCCUCCAUUUCUGUGACUGCAGCCCUCGUAGCAGGAACAAAUCAACAGGCUUCAGGGACAUUCAGAUGUCCUCCUAAGACCAUACCCUGUGAACUCCGGAUUCCUGCUAAAUGAAAACAGGAGUACACAGUAGGAUUGUCUUCAAUUCUGUGCAUCUCUCGCAGGAGGAAGCUCCCGUGAACUCUGGGCUGGACGUCGUCCAGAAGGGGAUCUACCUUGCUGUGACAGGCCUUGAGUCCUCCGCUCCUCUGGCCGGGCCCGUCAUUCUGGAUGCGGCUCCAUAGGUCAACUUGUCUUCUACACCAAGAUGCCUUUUGGGUUCAGAGGGAUGAAGUGAAAACUCCCAGCCCCUGCACAUCCCUGCUGGAGCUUUAUGUACAAUAUACAACCCAGACAGACCAGGUGUAGCAUGCUAAAAAAUAAGUGCAGAGUUAAGUUUUGAUCAAUGGAGCAAGAAGAAAUGGAUGCCACAGGAGAAAGGAUCUAACGCUCUCCCGGUGAAUUGAGAAAGCUUCCUUUGAAAUACAUGAAUAUCAGAAAAGUGCCCUCAGGCAAAGAAGAUGCAGCUUUUUAAGAAAAGGAUCCAAUUUGGGAAUGAGGAACAGUGCUGCCACGGCCACACAGAUAUUGGCGAUUUUUUCUCUCAUACACGGGCCUGAAGAUCAUUUUCUACCCAUGGCCUUGUUUUUCAACUUCCAAAAAUCCGUAGAAAGAUGAAGAGCCCCAGCCAGACAACCUAGGACCACAG
Long non-coding RNA from Neofelis nebulosa (Clouded leopard), 770 nucleotides. RefSeq lists it as uncharacterized. The transcript has 6 exons. NCBI's taxonomy places the organism in Eukaryota, Metazoa, Chordata, Mammalia, Carnivora, Felidae. The record is from RefSeq and is a predicted model, not a curated record.